CAGGAUAUAGCUUACACAAAGCCUCUCGCUUACACCGGGAAGACAUCUCAUUAACUAGGAUUACCCUGA
This 69-nucleotide transfer RNA is filed under the name Occidozyga baluensis. RNAcentral's name for it is "tRNA-Val". Lineage: Eukaryota; Metazoa; Chordata; Amphibia; Anura; Dicroglossidae. The record is from RNAcentral.